Molecule: long non-coding RNA, 799 nt
Organism: Sebastes umbrosus (honeycomb rockfish)
Lineage: Eukaryota; Metazoa; Chordata; Actinopteri; Perciformes; Sebastidae
Exons: 2
Source: RefSeq, a predicted model, not a curated record
CUGAGCCCGCCACAACCUCUGAAAGAUCGAUUACAUUAAUGUCCUAAAGAAAUUAGUGGUGUUAAAACAAAUUUGCUUUAAUGCGUUAUUCUCGCGUUAACUUUGACAGCCUUAUUUGAUAUACAAACUUAAUUUAAAGUUUGCAUCCCUAAAACAACCUACAUAGUUGUUUUUUUUACAAGCCAGACUGUACAUGCAAGUGAUCUAUCAUGGGAAGCGAUAAAUCCAAACUGUGCAACAGCUGAGAGAGAGAGAGAGAGAGAGAGAGAGUGUUGUGGGUUCAUACCAAGAGACAAGCAACCUAGACAGAGAGACAGGGCCAUAUAGACGGGAUUUGUCGUGCUCUGCUCUGCACACAGAAAAGACAGACAGCUCGGCAGACAGACAGACAGACAGUGACAGACAGGGAGCAGGCGAGUCAAGGGGGUUGGGGGCUGAACGGGCAAAAAUGAGCAAUCUAUCUACUCUACAACAGCUGUUUAACAUCUGCUGUGUGCCAAUCAGAGCCCUGGGAACACGAGUGCUGUAGAGCAGACGAGGAGAAAAUGGGAGAAGAGAAGAAGAAGAAUGCUUGAAGUUGCCUGAUGAGCACGGUGACGUUGAACACUUUGGUGAAUGAGAGGAGAGGAGAAGAGGAGUGAAGUGAAGUGAGGGGGAAUGGGCAGGAGGCCCAGAAAGAUAAAAAAAAAAGUAAGAAAAAGAGAGAUACAGUACAGAGCCAACAAAAAGUUUAAAAGACGACGAAAAGUGUGGGUGAAAAGUAAGCGUCUAAUUCUGUGGACUAAAGAAACAACAGCUG